RNAcentral lists this ribosomal RNA (1325 nucleotides) under uncultured organism. RNAcentral describes it as "16S ribosomal RNA". It matches the Rfam family "Bacterial small subunit ribosomal RNA", at positions 95 to 1433 of the family's 1533-position model. The record is from RNAcentral.
GCGGCGGACGGGUGAGUAACGCGUGGGCAACCUACCUUAUACAGGUGGACAACAUCGGGAAACCGGUGCUAAUACCGCAUAACACAUUGAAAUGGAAUCAUUAUGAUGUCAAAGGAGGAAUCCGGUAUAAGAUGGGCCUGCGUCCAAUUAGCUAGUUGGUGAGGUAACGGCUCACCAAGGCGACGAUUGGUAGCCGAACUGAGAGGUUGAUCGGCCACAUUGGGACUGAGACACGGCCCAGACUCCUACGGGAGGCAGCAGUGGGGAAUAUUGCACAAUGGGGGAAACCCUGAUGCAGCAACGCCGCGUGAAGGAUGAAGGUCUUCGGAUUGUAAACUUCUUUGAUUGGGGAAGAAGAAGUGACGGUACCCAAAAAACAAGCCACGGCUAACUAACGUGCAAGCAGCCGCGGUAAUACGUAGGUGGCAAGCGUUGUCCGGAAUAAUUGGGUGUAAAGGGCGUGUAGGCGGGGAUGCAAGUCAGGUGUGAAAGCCCAUGGCUUCAACUGUGGGACUGCAUCUGGAACUGAAUCUCUUGAGUACUGGAGAGGGAAGUGGAAUUCCUAGUGUAGCGGUGAAAUGCGUAGAGAUUAGGAGGAACACCAGUGGCGAAGGCGGCUUCCUGGACAGUAACUGACGCUGAGGCGCGAAAGCGUGGGGAGCGAACAGGAUUAGAUACCCUGGUAGUCCACGCCGUAAACGAUGGAUACUAGGUGUAGGAGGUAUCGACCCCUUCUGUGCCGGAGUUAACACAUUAAGUAUCCCACCUGGGGAAUACGACCGCAAGGUUGAAACUCAAAGGAAUUGACGGGGGCCCGCACAAGCAGUGGAGUAUGUGGUUUAAUUCGAAGCAACGCGAAGAACCUUACCAGGGCUUGACAUCCCUUGACAGCUCUAGAGAUAGAGUUUCCCUUCGGGGCAAGGAGACAGGUGGUGCAUGGUUGUCGUCAGCUCGUGUCGUGAGAUGUUGGGUUAAGUCCCGUAACGAGCGCAACCCUUAUUGUUAGUUGCCAGCAAGUAAAGUUGGGCACUCUAACGAGACUGCCGGUGAUAAAUCGGAGGAAGGUGGGGAUGACGUCAAAUCAUCAUGCCCCUUAUGUCCUGGGCUACACACGUACUACAAUUGGCUUGGUACAGAGGGGAGCUAAGCCGCGAGUGGAGCCAAUCCCCAAAACCAGUCCCAGUUCGGAUUGCAGGCUGCAAUUCGCCUGCAUGAAGUGGGAAUUGCUAGUAAUGGCAGGUCAGCAUACUGCCGUGAAUACGUUCCCGGGCCUUGUACACACCGCCCGUCACACCAUGAGAGUUUGCAACACCCGAAGUCAGUAG